AAACGUAGGGGGCGAGCGUUGUCCGGAAUUACUGGGCGUAAAGCGCGCGCAGGCGGUCCUUUAAGUCUGAUGUGAAAUUCCGCGGCUCAACCGCGGGUGUGCAUUGGAAACUGGGGGACUUGAGUGCGGAAGAGGGGAGCGGAAUUCCCGGUGUAGCGGUGAAAUGCGUAGAGAUCGGGAGGAACACCAGUGGCGAAGGCGGCUCUCUGGUCCGCAACUGACGCUGAGGCGCGAAAGCGUGGGGAGCGAACAGGAUUAGAUACCCUGGUAGUCCACGCCGUAAACGAUGAGUGCUAAGUGUUAGAGGGGAUUGACCCUUUAGUGCUGCAGCUAACGCAUUAAGCACUCCGCCUGGGGAGUACGGCCGCAAGGCUGAA
Molecule: ribosomal RNA, 377 nt
Filed under: uncultured bacterium
Lineage: Bacteria
Description: bacterial SSU rRNA
Rfam family: Bacterial small subunit ribosomal RNA
Source: RNAcentral